GGCUCGGUGGUGGAUGGUCUACACUUGUUUCUUAUAGCGUGGGGGACAAUGCUUAAGCAUAGAAGGAGCCCGUUCAAUUCGGGCCCGAGCAA
Molecule: non-coding RNA, 92 nt
Organism: Mycena epipterygia
Lineage: Eukaryota; Fungi; Basidiomycota; Agaricomycetes; Agaricales; Mycenaceae
Source: the annotation of a GenBank genome assembly